This 677-nucleotide ribosomal RNA is filed under the name Beijerinckia sp. ICBR-136. RNAcentral's name for it is "bacterial SSU rRNA". It matches the Rfam family "Bacterial small subunit ribosomal RNA", at positions 35 to 758 of the family's 1533-position model. Lineage: Bacteria; Pseudomonadati; Pseudomonadota; Alphaproteobacteria; Hyphomicrobiales; Beijerinckiaceae. The record is from RNAcentral.
GCUGGCGGCAGGCCUACACAUGCAAGCUCGAACGCCGUAGCAAUACGGAGUGGCAGACGGGUGAGUAACACGUGGGAACAUACCCUUUGGUUCGGAAUAACUCAGGGAAACUUGGGCUAAUACCGGAUACGCCCUACGGGGGAAAGAUUUAUUGCCGAAGGAUUGGCCCGCGUCUGAUUAGCUAGUUGGUGAGGUAAUGGCUCACCAAGGCGACGAUCAGUAGCUGGUCUGAGAGGAUGAUCAGCCACAUUGGGACUGAGACACGGCCCAAACUCCUACGGGAGGCAGCAGUGGGGAAUAUUGGACAAUGGGCGCAAGCCUGAUCCAGCCAUGCCGCGUGAGUGAUGAAGGCCUUAGGGUUGUAAAGCUCUUUUACCUGGGAAGAUAAUGACGGUACCAGGAGAAUAAGCCCCGGCUAACUUCGUGCCAGCAGCCGCGGUAAUACGAAGGGGGCUAGCGUUGUUCGGAUUUACUGGGCGUAAAGCGCACGUAGGCGGAUCUUUAAGUCAGGGGUGAAAUCCCAAGGCUCAACCUUGGAACUGCCUUUGAUACUGGGGAUCUCGAGUCCGGGAGAGGUGAGUGGAACUGCGAGUGUAGAGGUGAAAUUCGUAGAUAUUCGCAAGAACACCAGUGGCGAAGGCGGCUCACUGGCCCGGUACUGACGCUGAGGUGCGAAA